AUUGGGGAAUUUUCCGCAAUGGGCGAAAGCCUGACGGAGCAACGCCGCGUGAGGGAUGAAGGCCUCUGGGCUGUAAACCUCUUUUCUCAAGGAAGAAGAUCUGACGGUACUUGAGGAAUAAGCCACGGCUAAUUCCGUGCCAGCAGCCGCGGUAAUACGGGAGUGGCAAGCGUUAUCCGGAAUUAUUGGGCGUAAAGCGUCCGCAGGCGGCCUUGUAAGUCUGUCGUUAAAGCGUGGAGCUUAACUCCAUUUCAGCGAUGGAAACUACAAGGCUUGAGUGUGGUAGGGGCAGAGGGAAUUCCCGGUGUAGCGGUGAAAUGCGUAGAUAUCGGGAAGAACACCAGUGGCGAAGGCGCUCUGCUGGGCCAUAACUGACGCUCAUGGACGAAAGCCAGGGGAGCGAAAGGGAUUAGAUACCCCUGUAGUCAAU
This 430-nucleotide ribosomal RNA is filed under the name uncultured bacterium. Its description in RNAcentral is "bacterial SSU rRNA". It matches the Rfam family "Bacterial small subunit ribosomal RNA", at positions 353 to 798 of the family's 1533-position model. The record is from RNAcentral.